ACGCUGGCGGCAUGCCUUACACAUGCAAGUCGAACGGCAGCACGGAGCUUGCUCUGGUGGCGAGUGGCGAACGGGUGAGUAAUAUAUCGGAACGUACCCUGGAGUGGGGGAUAACGUAGCGAAAGUUACGCUAAUACCGCAUACGAUCUAAGGAUGAAAGUGGGGGAUCGCAAGACCUCAUGCUCGUGGAGCGGCCGAUAUCUGAUUAGCUAGUUGGUAGGGUAAAAGCCUACCAAGGCAUCGAUCAGUAGCUGGUCUGAGAGGACGACCAGCCACACUGGAACUGAGACACGGUCCAGACUCCUACGGGAGGCAGCAGUGGGGAAUUUUGGACAAUGGGCGCAAGCCUGAUCCAGCAAUGCCGCGUGAGUGAAGAAGGCCUUCGGGUUGUAAAGCUCUUUUGUCAGGGAAGAAACGGUGGGAGCUAAUAUCUCCUGCUAAUGACGGUACCUGAAGAAUAAGCACCGGCUAACUACGCGCCAGCAGCCGCGGUAAUACGUAGGGUGCAAGCGUUAAUCGGAAUUACUGGGCGUAAAGCGUGCGCAGGCGGUUUUGUAAGUCUGAUGUGAAAUCCCCGGGCUCAACCUGGGAAUUGCAUUGGAGACUGCAAGGCUAGAAUCUGGCAGAGGGGGGUAGAAUUCCACGUGUAGCAGUGAAAUGCGUAGAUAUGUGGAGGAACACCGAUGGCGAAGGCAGCCCCCUGGGUCAAGAUUGACGCUCAUGCACGAAAGCGUGGGGAGCAAAC
Molecule: ribosomal RNA, 745 nt
Filed under: uncultured bacterium
Lineage: Bacteria
Description: bacterial SSU rRNA
Rfam family: Bacterial small subunit ribosomal RNA
Source: RNAcentral